UACGAAGGGGGCUAGCGUUGUUCGGAUUUACUGGGCGUAAAGCGCACGUAGGCGGAUCUUUAAGUCAGAGGUGAAAUCCCAAGGCUCAACCUUGGAACUGCCUUUGAUACUGGGGAUCUCGAGUUCGGGAGAGGUGAGUGGAACUGCGAGUGUAGAGGUGAAAUUCGUAGAUAUUCGCAAGAACACCAGUGGCGAAGGCGGCUCACUGGCCCGAUACUGACGCUGAGGUGCGAAAGCGUGGGGAGCGAACAGG
RNAcentral lists this ribosomal RNA (253 nucleotides) under uncultured bacterium. Its description in RNAcentral is "partial 16S ribosomal RNA". It matches the Rfam family "Bacterial small subunit ribosomal RNA", at positions 524 to 776 of the family's 1533-position model. The record is from RNAcentral.